GGCGAUGUGGCGGAACGGAAUACGCGGCUGUUUCAAGAACAGUUGAUCGUAAGAUCGUGAGAGUUCGACUCUCUCCAUCGCCA
This 83-nucleotide transfer RNA is filed under the name Candidatus Lindowbacteria bacterium RIFCSPLOWO2_02_FULL_62_12. Its description in RNAcentral is "tRNA-Leu". It matches the Rfam family "tRNA". Rfam says of the family: Transfer RNA (tRNA) molecules are approximately 80 nucleotides in length. Their secondary structure includes four short double-helical elements and three loops (D, anti-codon, and T loops). Further hydrogen bonds mediate the characteristic L-shaped molecular structure. tRNAs have two regions of fundamental functional importance: the anti-codon, which is responsible for specific mRNA codon recognition, and the 3' end, to which the tRNAs corresponding amino acid is attached (by aminoacyl-tRNA synthetases). tRNAs cope with the degeneracy of the genetic code in two manners: having more than one tRNA (with a specific anti-codon) for a particular amino acid; and 'wobble' base-pairing, i.e. permitting non-standard base-pairing at the 3rd anti-codon position. The record is from RNAcentral. Lineage: Bacteria; Candidatus Lindowiibacteriota. RNAcentral also lists the same sequence under 1 other name.